RNAcentral lists this ribosomal RNA (551 nucleotides) under uncultured bacterium. RNAcentral's name for it is "partial 16S ribosomal RNA". It matches the Rfam family "Bacterial small subunit ribosomal RNA", at positions 355 to 895 of the family's 1533-position model. The record is from RNAcentral.
UGGGGAAUAUUGCACAAUGGGCGCAAGCCUGAUGCAGCCAUGCCGCGUGUGUGAAGAAGGCCUUCGGGUUGUAAAGCACUUUCAGCGAGGAGGAAGGUGGUGAACUUAAUACGUUCAUCAAUUGACGUUACUCGCAGAAGAAGCACCGGCUAACUCCGUGCCAGCAGCCGCGGUAAUACGGAGGGUGCAAGCGUUAAUCGGAAUUACUGGGCGUAAAGCGCACGCAGGCGGUUUGUUAAGUCAGAUGUGAAAUCCCCGGGCUCAACCUGGGAACUGCAUUUGAAACUGGCAAGCUAGAGUCUCGUAGAGGGGGGUAGAAUUCCAGGUGUAGCGGUGAAAUGCGUAGAGAUCUGGAGGAAUACCGGUGGCGAAGGCGGCCCCCUGGACGAAGACUGACGCUCAGGUGCGAAAAGCGUGGGGAGCAAAACAGGAUUAGAUACCCUGGUAGUCCACGCUGUAAAACGAUGUCGAUUUGGAGGUUGUGCCCUUGAGGCGUGGCUUCCGGAGCUAACGCGUUAAAUCGACCGCCUGGGGAGUACGGCCGCAAGGUU